UAUGUCACAAUGAAGUAUUAUUUACCUUAGGGUUAUCCUUAUAAUAAAUAUAGGUAUAUAAUGUUUAUACAUUUUUUAAGAAUGCAAUUGAAAAUGAAAAAGAAACUGAAGUUGCACUAUUAAUCAGAAGUAAAUGCCAUAUUGAUGAUGAUAAUCACCGGAAUAAAUAUGUACCUGACCACAAACAUUCUGUUGAAGUAUCGGGAAUAUCGUCACUUAUGAAUAUGUCUAAUCUGUCUGAAAACAUACCUUCAGAGAUCUAUAUAGAUGUUCAACAAUUGUUUCCUGAUGAUACUACUCAACACAUACAGGUCGCGGCAGCGCUGACUGACUCUGACGUGGGAGAUUUUUCACCUAGUGAUGAGUCGGACUUUGAUCCAAAAAAAGCGGGCUAUGAUAGCUAUGAUAGCUUAAAUAAGUCUUUUAACGAUGAAUAUAAUGACGACCCAGUCGUUCAGUUGAAAAAAAAUUGCAAUAGACAAGUAAAACAGUUACAAGAAAGAAACACACAAGUCAAUAGUGGGGAAAGUAGCCAGAACUUAUCGACU
Molecule: long non-coding RNA, 548 nt
Organism: Pieris napi
Lineage: Eukaryota; Metazoa; Arthropoda; Insecta; Lepidoptera; Pieridae
Exons: 3
Source: RefSeq, a predicted model, not a curated record